UACCAGCACCCCGAGUGGUCGGGACGUUUAUUGGGCCUAAAGCAUCCGUAGCCGGUUCUACAAGUCUUCCGUUAAAUCCAACUGCUUAACAGGUGGGCUGCGGAAGAUACUAUAGAGCUAGGAGGCGGGAGAGGCAAGCGGUACUCGAUGGGUAGGGGUAAAAUCCGUUGAUCCAUUGAAGAACACCUGAGGCGAAGGCGGGUUGCUGGGCUGAUACUGACGCUGAGGCGCGAAAGCCAGGGGAGCAAACGGG
Molecule: ribosomal RNA, 253 nt
Filed under: uncultured bacterium
Lineage: Bacteria
Description: partial 16S ribosomal RNA
Rfam family: Archaeal small subunit ribosomal RNA
Source: RNAcentral